RNAcentral lists this ribosomal RNA (451 nucleotides) under uncultured bacterium. Its description in RNAcentral is "partial 16S ribosomal RNA". It matches the Rfam family "Bacterial small subunit ribosomal RNA", at positions 354 to 796 of the family's 1533-position model. The record is from RNAcentral.
GUGGGGAAUAUUGGACAAUGGGGGGAACCCUGAUCCAGCCAUGCCGCGUGUGUGAAGAAGGCCUUUUGGUUGUAAAGCACUUUAAGCGAGGAGGAGGCUCUUCUAGUUAAUACCUAGGAUGAGUGGACGUUACUCGCAGAAUAAGCACCGGCUAACUCUGUGCCAGCAGCCGCGGUAAUACAGAGGGUGCGAGCGUUAAUCGGAUUUACUGGGAGUAAAGCGUACGUAGGCGGCUUUUUAAGUCGGAUGUGAAAUCCCUGAGCUUAACUUAGGAAUUGCAUUCGAUACUGGGAAGCUAGAGUAUGGGAGAGGAUGGUAGAAUUCCAGGUGUAGCGGUGAAAUGCGUAGAGAUCUGGAGGAAUACCGAUGGCGAAGGCAGCCAUCUGGCCUAAUACUGACGCUGAGGUACGAAAGCAUGGGGAGCAAACAGGAUUAGAAACCCCUGUAGUCC